UACGUAGGGUCCGAGCGUUGUCCGGAAUUACUGGGCGUAAAGAGCUCGUAGGUGGUUUGUCGCGUUGUUCGUGAAAACUCACAGCUUAACUGUGGGCGUGCGGGCGAUACGGGCAGACUAGAGUACUGCAGGGGAGACUGGAAUUCCUGGUGUAGCGGUGGAAUGCGCAGAUAUCAGGAGGAACACCGGUGGCGAAGGCGCUCAUCUGGCCCAAUACUGACGCUGAGGCGCGAAAGCGUGGGGAGCGAACAGG
Molecule: ribosomal RNA, 253 nt
Filed under: uncultured bacterium
Lineage: Bacteria
Description: partial 16S ribosomal RNA
Rfam family: Bacterial small subunit ribosomal RNA
Source: RNAcentral